This is a small nuclear RNA of Myotis lucifugus (little brown bat), 107 nucleotides long. The record is from Ensembl. NCBI's taxonomy places the organism in Eukaryota, Metazoa, Chordata, Mammalia, Chiroptera, Vespertilionidae.
GUGCUUGCUUCGGCACCACAUAUACUAAAAUCGGAAUGAUACAGAGAAGAUUAGCAUGACCCCUGCGCAAGGAUGACACACAAAUUCAUGAAGCGUUCCAUAUAAAA